AUUGAACGCUGGCGGCAUGCCUUACACAUGCAAGUCGAACGGCAGCACGGGAGCAAUCCUGGCGGCGAGUGGCGAACGGGUGAGUAAUACAUCGGAACGUGCCCAAUCGUGGGGGAUAACGCAGCGAAAGCUGUGCUAAUACCGCAUACGAUCUACGGAUGAAAGCAGGGGAUCGCAAGACCUUGCGCGAAUGGAGCGGCCGAUGGCAGAUUAGGUAGUUGGUGAGGUAAAGGCUCACCAAGCCUUCGAUCUGUAGCUGGUCUGAGAGGACGACCAGCCACACUGGGACUGAGACACGGCCCAGACUCCUACGGGAGGCAGCAGUGGGGAAUUUUGGACAAUGGGCGAAAGCCUGAUCCAGCCAUGCCGCGUGCAGGAUGAAGGCCUU
Molecule: ribosomal RNA, 388 nt
Filed under: uncultured bacterium
Lineage: Bacteria
Description: bacterial SSU rRNA
Rfam family: Bacterial small subunit ribosomal RNA
Source: RNAcentral